GACGAACGCUGGCGGCGUGCUUAACACAUGCAAGUCGAACGGAAAGGCCCUGCUUUUGUGGGGUGCUCGAGUGGCGAACGGGUGAGUAACACGUGAGUAACCUGCCCUUGACUUUGGGAUAACUUCAGGAAACUGGGGCUAAUACCGGAUAGGAGCUCCUGCUGCAUGGUGGGGGUUGGAAAGUUUCGGCGGUUGGGGAUGGACUCGCUGCUUAUCAUCUUGUUGGUGGGGUAGUGGCUUACCAAGGCUUUGACGGGUAGCCGGCCUGAGAGGGUGACCGGCCACAUUGGGACUGAGAUACGGCACAGACUCCUACGGGAGGCAGCAGUGGGGAAUAUUGCACGAUGGGCGGAAGCCUGAUGCAGCAACGCCGCGUGCGGGAUGACGGCCUUCGGGUUGUAAACAGAUUUCGCCUGAGACGAAGCGUGAGUGACGGUACUGGGUCAAGAAGCACCGGCUAACUACGUG
This 468-nucleotide ribosomal RNA is filed under the name uncultured bacterium. RNAcentral describes it as "partial 16S ribosomal RNA". It matches the Rfam family "Bacterial small subunit ribosomal RNA", at positions 28 to 507 of the family's 1533-position model. The record is from RNAcentral.